This 205-nucleotide long non-coding RNA is filed under the name Linum usitatissimum (flax). RNAcentral describes it as "long non-coding RNA (LUSI_LNC004226)". The record is from RNAcentral. Lineage: Eukaryota; Viridiplantae; Streptophyta; Magnoliopsida; Malpighiales; Linaceae.
AUUUAGGGGGUUAAUAUUUUUUUUUCCAAUCUUGAUGUUAAAUGUUGUAAUUUAGGGAGUUAGUUAUUUUUUUUCCAAUCGUUAUCUUAAAUGUUAUAAUUUAGGGUUAGUUAAGAGUUACCACCCACACAUACAUACUCCUUUCCAUUUUCCCAAUCUCGUCUCUUACAAAUAAAUAAGUAAAUCACUUAUAAAAAGAGUUAUA